GUGCCGCUGGUGUAGUGGUAUCAUGCAAGAUUCCCAUUCUUAUGACUCGGGUUCGAUUCCCGAGGGGCGCA
Molecule: transfer RNA, 71 nt
Filed under: Nephila pilipes (giant wood spider)
Lineage: Eukaryota; Metazoa; Arthropoda; Arachnida; Araneae; Nephilidae
Rfam family: tRNA
About the family: Transfer RNA (tRNA) molecules are approximately 80 nucleotides in length. Their secondary structure includes four short double-helical elements and three loops (D, anti-codon, and T loops).
Source: Rfam by way of RNAcentral